AGAUUAAGUUAUUAAGGGCGCACGGUGGAUGCCUUGGCACUAGAAGCCGAUGAAGGACGUUACUAACGACGAUAUGCUUUGGGUAGCUGUAAGUAAGCGUUGAUCCAGAGAUUUCCGAAUGGGGGAACCCAGCAUGAGUUAUGUCAUGUUAUCGACAUGUGAAUUCAUAGCAUGUCAGAAGGCAGACCCGGAGAACUGAAACAUCUUAGUACCCGGAGGAAGAGAAAGAAAAAUCGAUUCCCUGAGUAGCGGCGAGCGAAACGGGAAGAGCCCAAACCAACAAGCUUGCUUGUUGGGGUUGUAGGACACUCUAUACGGAGUUACAAAAGAACAUGUUAGACGAAUCAUCUGGAAAGAUGAAUCAAAGAAGGUAAUAAUCCUGUAGUCGAAAACAUAUUCUCUCUUGAGUGGAUCCUGAGUACGACGGAGCACGUGAAAUUCCGUCGGAAUCUGGGAGGACCAUCUCCUAAGGCUAAAUACUCUCUAGUGACCGAUAGUGAACCAGUACCGUGAGGGAAAGGUGAAAAGUACCCCGGAAGGGGAGUGAAAGAGAACUUGAAACCGUGUGCUUACAAGUAGUCAGAGCCCGUUAAUGGGUGAUGGCGUGCCUUUUGUAGAAUGAACCGGCGAGUUACGAUCUGAUGCAAGGUUAAGCAGCAAAUGUGGAGCCGCAGCGAAAGCGAGUCUGAAUAGGGCGUUGAGUAUUUGGUCGUAGACCCGAAACCAGGUGAUCUACCCUUGGUCAGGUUGAAGUUCAGGUAACACUGAAUGGAGGACCGAACCGACUUACGUUGAAAAGUGAGCGGAUGAACUGAGGGUAGCGGAGAAAUUCCAAUCGAACUUGGAGAUAGCUGGUUCUCUCCGAAAUAGCUUUAGGGCUAGCCUCAAGUGAUGAUUAUUGGAGGUAGAGCACUGUUUGGACGAGGGGCCCCUCUCGGGUUACCGAAUUCAGACAAACUCCGAAUGCCAAUUAAUUUAACUUGGGAGUCAGAACAUGGGUGAUAAGGUCCGUGUUCGAAAGGGAAACAGCCCAGACCACCAGCUAAGGUCCCAAAAUAUAUGUUAAGUGGAAAAGGAUGUGGCGUUGCCCAGACAACUAGGAUGUUGGCUUAGAAGCAGCCAUCAUUUAAAGAGUGCGUAAUAGCUCACUAGUCGAGUGACACUGCGCCGAAAAUGUACCGGGGCUAAACAUAUUACCGAAGCUGUGGAUUGUCCUUUGGACAAUGGUAGGAGAGCGUUCUAAGGGCGUCGAAGCAUGAUCGCAAGGACAUGUGGAGCGCUUAGAAGUGAGAAUGCCGGUGUGAGUAGCGAAAGACGGGUGAGAAUCCCGUCCACCGAUUGACUAAGGUUUCCAGAGGAAGGCUCGUCCGCUCUGGGUUAGUCGGGUCCUAAGCUGAGGCCGACAGGCGUAGGCGAUGGAUAACAGGUUGAUAUUCCUGUACCACCUAGUAUCGUUUUAAUCGAUGGGGGGACGCAGUAGGAUAGGUGAAGCGUGCUGUUGGAGUGCACGUCCAAGCAGUAAGGCUGAGUGUUAGGCAAAUCCGGCACUCAUAAAGCUGAGUUGUGAUGGGGAGAGGAAAUUGUUUCCUCGAGUCGUUGAUUUCACACUGCCGAGAAAAGCCUCUAGAUAGAUAACAGGUGCCCGUACCGCAAACCGACACAGGUAGUCAAGAUGAGAAUUCUAAGGUGAGCGAGCGAACUCUCGUUAAGGAACUCGGCAAAAUGACCCCGUAACUUCGGGAGAAGGGGUGCUCUUUAGGGUUCACGCCCAGAAGAGCCGCAGUGAAUAGGCCCAAGCGACUGUUUAUCAAAAACACAGGUCUCUGCUAAACCGUAAGGUGAUGUAUAGGGGCUGACGCCUGCCCGGUGCUGGAAGGUUAAGAGGAGUGGUUAGCUUCUGCGAAGCUACGAAUCGAAGCCCCAGUAAACGGCGGCCGUAACUAUAACGGUCCUAAGGUAGCGAAAUUCCUUGUCGGGUAAGUUCCGACCCGCACGAAAGGCGUAACGAUUUGGGCACUGUCUCAACGAGAGACUCGGUGAAAUCAUAGUACCUGUGAAGAUGCAGGUUACCCGCGACAGGACGGAAAGACCCCGUGGAGCUUUACUGUAGCCUGAUAUUGAAAUUCGGCACAGCUUGUACAGGAUAGGUAGGAGCCUUUGAAACGUGAGCGCUAGCUUACGUGGAGGCGUUGGUGGGAUACUACCCUAGCUGUGUUGGCUUUCUAACCCGCACCACUUAUCGUGGUGGGAGACAGUGUCAGGCGGGCAGUUUGACUGGGGCGGUCGCCUCCUAAAAGGUAACGGAGGCGCUCAAAGGUUCCCUCAGAAUGGUUGGAAAUCAUUCAUAGAGUGUAAAGGCAUAAGGGAGCUUGACUGCGAGACCUACAAGUCGAGCAGGGUCGAAAGACGGACUUAGUGAUCCGGUGGUUCCGCAUGGAAGGGCCAUCGCUCAACGGAUAAAAGCUACCCCGGGGAUAACAGGCUUAUCUCCCCCAAGAGUUCACAUCGACGGGGAGGUUUGGCACCUCGAUGUCGGCUCAUCGCAUCCUGGGGCUGUAGUCGGUCCCAAGGGUUGGGCUGUUCGCCCAUUAAAGCGGUACGCGAGCUGGGUUCAGAACGUCGUGAGACAGUUCGGUCCCUAUCCGUCGUGGGCGUAGGAAAUUUGAGAGGAGCUGUCCUUAGUACGAGAGGACCGGGAUGGACAUACCUCUGGUGUACCAGUUGUCGUGCCAACGGCAUAGCUGGGUAGCUAUGUAUGGACGGGAUAAGUGCUGAAAGCAUCUAAGCAUGAAGCCCCCCUCAAGAUGAGAUUUCCCAACUUCGGUUAUAAGAUCCCUCGAAGAUGACGAGGUUAAUAGGUUCGAGGUGGAAGCGUGGUGACACGUGGAGCUGACGAAUACUAAUCGAUCGAAGACUUAAUCAAUUUUUUAAA
RNAcentral lists this ribosomal RNA (2932 nucleotides) under Staphylococcus epidermidis. RNAcentral's name for it is "bacterial LSU rRNA". It matches the Rfam family "Bacterial large subunit ribosomal RNA". Lineage: Bacteria; Bacillati; Bacillota; Bacilli; Caryophanales; Staphylococcaceae. The record is from RNAcentral.